CAGACGGUCAGUUGAAUAAUUCAGAUAAGUAUUAGACGAAGGGCGAAUUUUCUGUACAUUUGCCAAAUAUUUUCCUGUGAUUUAGAAAUGUUAGACACAAAAUUCAUUCACAUUACACAGGAUAUACAUCAAAACAACUUAGACAUCUACGAUCUGUAACUAAUAUUUGCUUCAUGCUUAUUUAAUAAUGCUGCCAUUACAUGGAUAUCGGUGAAUGUAGUAUUACGCGUCAAAUACAAAGGAUACUGGUAGACCACUCGAAACUGACUCGAAUCAGAUCGAAUCAGAUAUGAGAAGAGAAGGGAUUCAUCGUUUAGACCCCACCCAUUACACCAACCUUCCCCCAUCGCGCAGAAUCACGCACAGUAAAUCGUGCACGCAUCUUACGCACCCACGCACGACAAUUGUAUCAUCUGCUUUAGAACUAUUAUAAUAGUAUUUUAGCUUACUUUCGAGAAAUAAAAUAGUAUUAUAUUUAUUGAUAUAUUAUUAAUAUAAAUAUAAAUUUAUUGAUAUAAUAUUCUUGUUAUAUAAAACAUAUAUAUAAUGUACAUUAUACGAAAUAUUUUUUAUAAAAAUAUUUGAUAUUUUCUUUAACAAUAAUGUAGAAAAAGGUGUAUAAUAUAUUUAAAUGUGGACUGCACUAUUUAUUAUGACGCUUCACAUAGAAAUCCUCUCUGACAGAGUUUAAUGAAACUCUGAUGAUAUAGUAGGAAAAUGCUAUUCUUCGGUUAGAAUUGGAAAUAAAGGAAUUUUGUGAAAUUGAUUCUUUUAAUAUUUGUUUUUUUAAUCAUAAAUUGAAAUAUAAAAUUUUUUAUAUAAAUUUUAUAAAUUUAUGAAAUUGAUUAUUUUAAUAUUAAUAUUAUUUAUUUUUUUAAUCAUAAAUUGGAAUAUAAAAUUUUUUAUAUAAAUUUUAUAAGUUUUUUAAUUUUUCUUUUCAUUAAUAUAAUAAUAAGCAUAGAUCAUUUAUUCAUUUAUUUAUUUUUAUGUAUUUUACGUGCAAUAUGAUAAAUAGAAAAUUAAUGAAUUGAUAAUUAUAUCGAAUCAUAAAAACCUUGAACUUACGACUCUAAGUUAUGUUUGAGAUUCAGUUUAAAAUUGUAUUGCAUUCCAGAUUUGAAUUACGUCAGACUAAAGACGUAAUACGACACUAUUAUAAAUAGAGAUGCUUUUAUGUUAGUGUUUAGCUGAUAAAUUUUAAUUUAAAUUAUUCUGGUUUUUUUUAAAUAAAAUAUAUUUUUUUAAAACAUUUAUAUUAUACAAUUAUAAAAAUAAUAUUAUGUUUCCUGAAUCAAAUUGAUUUAUUUUCAACAAAAUAUUAAAAUCAUUUUCUUCUAAAUAAUAUAUUUUCAUCAAUUUAAAUUACAUAUAAUUGUAUGAGAUACACAUUUCUUAUUUUUAGUUUAAUAAUUUUAAUUUUAAAUAUUUAUUUGUUUAUAUAGUUUCUUAAAAAUUUAAAAAUAAAUUUAUUUAAUAAAUCAUUACAAAAUAAAGAAUUUAUGUUGCAUUGUUAAAUCCAUUAUUAAAUAAAAUAAACAUCUAUAUCAGAUCAUUAUAUAAUGUAAAAUAGAAAGUUAAAAGAGAAUCAUAUAAUUAUAAAAGCAUAUAUAUUUAAAAAAGCAUUGUCACAUACAAUGAGAGUGAGAUACUAUGGGAUAUUUCUUUUAAAAAGUUAUUUAUUCUAAUGUUUCAAGAAUUAUUAUUAUUAUUAGAAUUAUUAUUUUUAUUAGUAAAGUAUACAUAUUAUAAUAUACGAUUAUAUAAAAUAUUUCAUAUAAGAAGGGAGUCAAAUUAAAAAAAAGAAAUGAAAAUAUAAAAUUAUAUAUACAUUUAAUUAAAAAUAUAUAGGUAAAAAGGUAAGAGAAGAAAUAAAAAAAGUAUAAGUUAAUAACUUCUUUUAUUGCAUUUUAAAGUGUUCAUCUACAUUUUAUGUUUAAUUUUAAGCGUUUAUAUUUAUUCAUCAAAAAAUGGAUCAAAAAACAUAUAAAAAAAUGUUUAUUAUUAUAUUUCAUUCACAUUUUAAAUUAUAUAUUCAAACAUUCAUUGUUAUUAAAAAUUUCAAAAAAUAAAUAAUACUUCAAGAAAAUACAAAACUAAAAUACUUUUUAUUCUUAAAUUAAAUAAAUUUAUCUAUAUUUUAAAUUGCAUCGUCGAAUUAUCUAUAUAAGGUAUAAUAAUUACCUAAAAUAAUUAAUAAUUUCAAUAAAUCAUUAUUCACAUUGCAAAUCUCCAUUUUUAUUUUCUAUUUCAUCUCGUUAAAUUCUAACAUUAGACCAACACAAUUAGACCAAAUGUCCACAAAGAACCGGAUAUAUUCUUCCAUUUUCCAUUUUUUCUCCGCGCAAAUCGAUGAUACGCAAAGUCCAAUAAUAUUCGCGGAUAUUUUAAGAACGGAUACGAAAAAAAAAAAAAGAAAAACGAGAAAAAGAAAGAAUGAAUGGGUGGGGAAUGCGCAUUUCGUGAAAGUUAUAAUUCCUCUGAGUAUUCUUGGUGCAGGGCUACCAGACAUAACGCAUUACGCGAAGUGUUAAAGGUUCAAGACGCCGAAGAGACCGUGAUAUUCUUUCGAAAUUAGGUAUUCAUGCUGCAUCAUUCCGGUCCAGAGAGCCAUAUACGGUUGGUCAAAGACACGAGGCAUUGUGUAUAUGUAAGUUGCACAUAUCUCAUCGAUAUAGCAAGGAGAAAGCCGCUUUCAGCAUUAAUUCAGGACAAAUAUUUUUAUUUUGCGCGCGGCAAAAACUUUACGAAAAAAUCGACAUGGCUCGCAAAUUGACGUGACUCGAAAUAGCAAGCAGAAUUUUUUUAUAGCACGAUGGGUGUCUAUUUAUAUCCGAAAGUAUAUUUAAUCGUUUCACACGAACAGAAGUAUAUGUAUAAUUUUAGAAUGUAUAAAAAGAGUGAACCAAAUUAAUUUGUAAUUGAUAUUAGUGUUUAACAUACACGGAUAUAAUGAAUAACCGUUUCCUUUAUUUAAAUUCAAGAAAUUAUUUUAUCGAUAUAAUUUAACGGCUUUGUUAAAUAAUUUUUAAGAAAAUUUAACGCUGUGUAGAAAUGAAAUUAUUUUUUAAAAAUAUUUAAGUAUUUAGCUUUUGAUGUUUGGUUCAGAAUACGUGAUGGAUCGAUUGUUUUAAAAAGCAUAUUUACAAAAUUUGUCAUUGAAAAAUUUGAAGAAUCAGAAUCGAGUGACUUUUUUUUUUCAAAAUUAAUUUCAUACUUAUAGAAUUUAUUUAUUUAGACUAAUAAAAAGUUAAAAGUAAUUUUAUGUUAAUGAUAUUUUUAUAUUAGUUAAUUGGUGAAAAAACUCAUUAAAUCAUUAUUAACUCAUUAUUUGGUUUUAAGAAUUUCUUAUUGUUAAAUUUAAUAUAUAUUAAUUAUAAUAUAUUUUAAAUGCAUCAUUAAAUGUCUAUUUGAAAAUUUAAAUAUAUAUAUAUAUAUAUAUAUAUAUAUAUUAUACUUAUAUUUGCAUGAGUAAAAUUUGGAUAAAAUUUGAUUAAAAUAAAUUUCUUGGUUAUUGAUUUCUGAUACUGCAUUAAAAUAAAUAUUAAAUUAAAAAAUAAGCCAGAUAAGUAAUAAUUAAUUAUAGGGAUUAUGAAUUAUUAUGAGCUCUUAUAAAAUAUCACAGUUAAUUUUGAACAGUAUAUUUUGAUGGUAAAUUGGAAGAGUCAAAGUCGUGAAACUCUCAAGGAUAUGAAUUGAAAUAGCCUGUAGAAUAUGUAGAAAUAGCAGACAGUCCAUGAUUGCAGGGUCAAAUGAUGACAAGGACAACAACCGUAUGAGUGUUAAGCUUUUUCGUUUAUUGAAAAUAUCUCUGUAAAACGUGUGUAUAUUGUGGCCGGGCGAGGUAAGCCGACAAAACCGAAUCUUUUUUUUUUUCUUCAUUUUUUCGACAACGAAACGAAAUCGGGUAGCAAACGAAGGAAUACGGUGAAGACAUUAAAAACAAUAAUAGAGUCAAAUCGUUAUUUAGUUACCUACAUAAGUAAAGGACGAAUCAACGAUGCAUUCGCUUACUUUUCUUUUUUUCUUUUUUUUUUCUUUUAAUCUUAGUAUAUUAAUUAUAUUAUGUAUAACAAAGCGGUAACAACUUGUUAAUUGUAACUAUUACGGUAAUAAUCGUUUACUUUAUAUAAUUACAAUAAUGUAAUGUAAGGAUGAUCGUUAACUAAUCGAUAACAAACGAAUCGUUUCCUCCUCCAUCCUUCCUUCGUCUUGAUCGUCAUAUUUAUUCUCGUCACUUUCUUAACUUCGUCUUUUCCCUAUUUUUCUUCUCUUUUUUCUUUUAUUUUUAUGUUUGUAUUUAUUUAUUUCUUUUUUUUGCUUAAAUCCGAUAUCCAUCUUCAGCUAAAUCGUUUCGUUAUUUAUUUUAUUCGUAUAUUCCUUUUUUCGUAUUAAUUAUUUAACAACAGUUUUUUUAUUCCUUUUAUUACUUGCUCUUUAAUUUAAUAAUCGUAGUAAACAUAGUAAUUAUUUAUAAUAUUGUGCAAAUAAUCCAUAUUUUUAUUUUGUUUAAUAAUAAUGAAUGUCAUUCAACGGAGGAGCUCUUCUAUGUUCUCUCUUUCUCUCCCUCAUUUUCUCUCUCUUUCGCUCUCUUCUCGCUUUCUCGCUCUCCCUCUCUCGCGCUCUCGUUCAUUCUUUCCCUCAUUCUCUCUCUCUCUCUCUCUCUCUCUCUCGCUUUCUUUCUUUUUUUCUAUUUUUCACACAUACACGUUCUUUCGCACGCAUUCUGUCUCGAUGUCUCUCUCUGCUUGCUCGCGCGUAUUUACGACACGCAUUUACGCAUGCGCGCCGUCGCGGCACAUGUCCGCGCAUGCGCGCACAAGCACGGAGCACGCAUUUGAAUGGACGAUCCUUCGCGCGUAAUGUUUUUUUUUCGACAGCUAGCUCGUUAAAAUUGGAUUUUUUUUUUUGGUUUCUUAGCACAUUUCGUCUACCUAGCUUGUUGACCCAUGGCAGUUGCUUGUUCAUUAUACUGGCCGACAGGCUCCGUAGCUUGACACUUUACUCGAUUAUUCUCUGUAUUUUUUUUAAAUCUUCUUUUAUUUAACCCACCUCUAGAAUUUUUAUUUCGUACCUUCUUUAUAUAGCUUUUGUGUAUUUCAUCGUUUUAUUAUCUGACGAUGUUUAGGUUAAUAAGUUUCGAGAGUUUCGAGACACUACAAAGCCCUUUUUUAUUUUUGUUCGCUAUCCGUUUAAGAAAAUUUCGUGCAUUUACGAUUAGUUAACUUAGUUUCAUUUCUUCUUUAUACAAUGCGUAACGGCAGUAUCGUCCACGGAGAAAGUACGUUUAAAUCUCGUCUUACCUCGCUUAACGAAGGAAAGCCCUAUAUGUAUAUAUAUAUAUAUAUAUAUACACAUAUAUAUAUAUAUAUAUUUUUGUUCUUUAAUAUCUUACAGCCGUCGUCGCGCAAAAGCUGAUAUUUAAUGUACGGUUUUUUUUUGUUUGGUAAAACGAAAAUUAAUGAAGCACACCACGUAUACUCUUCCACCCCCCUCCCCCUUGUUUCUUUUCGCAGCCGUAGCAAAUUUUUUUGGCCGAUCGAACAUUUUUUACCGUUCCCGAGCUUUUUUGUCCCGAGCGUUACGCACAAACGAAUUUCCAAGCAACCCUUCGAGACGCGGAAAUUGGAAUUUCUAACAUUUUUUACGCUUUCCCUUCUAAUACGACCGUAGAUUAAGCGGAUCGAAUGUUAUCAAGUUUACCAACAAUCGGUAAAUGCGACUGAAAAUUGGGGAAGUUGCGAUUCAAUCGAACAUUCGAUCACGAAAAAUCCGAGCAGUCAUCACGUUCACAAUAAAAACACUGUGGAUAAAGAAGAAAAAGAAUAAGAAAAAGAAGAAGUAGAAAAAGAAGUAGAAGAAAAAGAAGAAGAAGAAACGAUAUUCAUUCGAUGCCUCUCAGGGAAGAACGAUUUUUAUAUGAUUCGCAAAAUCAAUUAUCGUUAAAAAGAGGCCAAUGUGUUUUGGAACACUUUCUGCACGAUUGUAUUUCGUUUCGUUCGUUACGCCCUGUUUAUAUAUUUUUUUUUUUAAUCUUCUAGCGUUUGUCAUGUGUCUCGAGAGUUUUAUUGCUUCUAGAAGUUCGCGGUUACCCAUUCGACAAAGUAGUAUCGAAAAUAUAUAUGUAUAUUAUUUGCGUACAAACCAUUUGAUUAUUAUCGAAUUAUUUGCACAUAUUACAGCACGGGAGAGGUUCGAAACAUAAAAAGGGGCGAGAGGGGGUAUCUGAGUAAUUAGACAGUGAGCCGGACGGACCAUCAGAUACGUCGUACUUCGAUAGAAGAAGGAUCGACGAGUUAAAUGAAUCGUCGUCGAUCGAUCUCGUGCCUCUAUUCGUUUCGUUUCGUCGUCAUCGUCGUUCGUCGUGCUUCGUAUAUUAGAUUAUAUUAUGUUAUAUCAGAUGCAUGAUCGUAUAUUUCGAGUAUUAUCGUGAUUAUUUUGAUCUCUACAAAACAAUAUUUAAAUAACGUGCGGCUAGAAAAAAAUUCAAAGAUUCUCGUCAAAUAUAAUAUAUGCAAACAGCAACGGCAUCACACAAUACUUUUUUUUUUAGGCAUAAUCCAUAUCUGCUUUUUCGUUGCAGAAAAUUAUUGAGAUAAUAGGUGGCGCGAUGAAUCUGAUUGUAAUUGAUGAUAAUGCGGAUAUAUUAUUGGAAUUCAGAAUCAUUUUAAAGAGAGAUUCAGAGUAUAAGAAAGUCAAAUCUCGGAAGAAACGAAGAACGACGAUCUCUUCCGAACGAACGAGUCGCGAGGACGCAGUCACGCGCAUGCGUAUACUUUGAAGCGUACUCACGAAAAGAUCAUCGAAUGGCCCGCGACGAGAAUCGUGAAAUGCAAUUAUAAUAUACGUAGAAAAGGUACGAGGACAUUAAUAUCGGACAGGCUUCUCUAAAAUACUUUGACAAAGCGGACUCGACACCGAUAGUGUGUGAAUUAUUUGUACGAGUAAUUUACAAUGAUCCUCACCCUCUUGAGCCUUCGUAGCUUAAAAUAAUGAACAUUUGUUUAUCUGUUUCCAUAUUUUCUCGUUAUUUCUCGCAUUAUUCUGUACCUAAUUGCAUAUCUGUAUUUUGCCUAAUCUCAUUUUCAACCUAUGUGUAAUAAAUUUACACCGUUCCCGGCUCAUUCAUAACCAUCGUUUUUGUUAUGUUCUCGUCAUUCCUGCUAUAUAUUCCAAAUACAAUCCUUCGAGCGAGCUGCGAGUUUUUUGCCACGUCCGUUUUCGACCAGCGAGAACGAUUCUAGCUUCGUUUAUUAUAGCGUUUCCGCCGUCGCUAACACGACACCUGUUUCCGGUAAAACACACGAGCAACAAGGUGCGUUCCUCGUUCCUUUUCCCAUCAUGUUUCUUUCUAUUCCAUUUCAGAACGCGGAUGUAAACGUAGAAAAAUAACGAUUGCGCAAUCCGCGUUAACACACACACGCACACACAUUAGUUCAUGUUUGUCCUCUGUAUUGUUGCCUCACCACUGCACGCUCGUUGCGUGCUAGCCCGAGAUAACUUUCGUUCGUGUAAGUACCUAUAUGUAUAAUAUGCAUUAAUCUGUACUUUGUACGGCAAAAUGAACUGUGCAUUGCCGCCAUUAUAGACAGACGCGUUCCAACGAAUUCUCGUUUAUCUUCGUGUGCAUAUCACUUGCAACGCGUUCCUCGAUUCACUUCACUAUACCUAUGAUUUCUUAUGUUGCACGAGAACGAUGCGAUUGAGGUUAUUGACUUGUGAUAAAAUCGAGUGCCAUGUUUACGAUUAUUGAAAAUUUUAUUCGAUAUAUAUCGAAAUAAUUUUACUCGAUCGAUAAUACAAUCCUACCACACCAUCUGAAGGAUAGAAGAUUGUAUUAUUUAUAAAACAGGCACGCGAUCCUUCACGAAAUUAUUAAGCACGUAAACCCGUUCGAAAUCGAGCUGGAAACUCGAACGAUUCCUUUCUUCUAUGAAGCAUCGAUUUUUUUUCUUUUUUUUUUUUUUUUAAUCGUUUAGAAUAUAUAUCGAAAUUUUUUUAAAUAUUUGUAUCGUGAUUCAUAAUGAAAGAAAAUGUGUAGUUAUUUUGUCAGUUUAUAGUAAUUGUUAUUAUUAUUAAACGUGCAUCUUCUCGAAUCACGAAUGAAAAUGAUACAACGUAUUUUUUGGGCGUUUUUGCAUUGUUUGUUCUCAUAUAGAGAUAAAUCACGUUUGAUAAUUCAACAGAAACUGUGUACUAAAUAUUUUAAACAACGAACAGCAAAAUAAUCAUUUGAAAUCUUAACAAUUUUUGUUGAAAACUUAACGUAUCAUUUUGGCAUCUAUUAUUAAACUAAGUAGAAUGACACAACUUUUUCACUCAGAUUUUAUAAGAAUUAAAAAUGUUAAUGAAUUUUUAAUUUUAAAUUUUAUCUGAAAUGUAAAUGAUUUAUUUACAUUGAAAUAUUAAAAAAAUUAUUUUAAGCAAAAAUUAUCAUAUUAAAGUAUCUAAAAUACUUUUUUAAAUUUCAAUUUUAUUCCAUUAUAUUAAUUAUUCUUACAAGUUUUAUUACUUUAACAAUUGAGUUAAAUUUUGAUAGAAAUAUAAUUCAAAAAUGAGUUAAAAAUAGUUGUGUCCAAUUCUACAUUAUCAACCGAGUUAAUCUUUCAUUUUUCCACAUUAUUUAAAUAUGCGGUAUUUUAUAUUUCGUUUUACUCAUUUUAAUGAUUAGACUACGCGUUUACUGCGAGACGGGUUUACGGGCGCACGGUUGUCGAUUACAAUUAUUCGAAUAACGUUACACUAUUAUGUAUAUUCAUUUAUUCCAAAGCGCAUCACUACGUCGUGUAAGAUUGUGUCUGUGUAAGUUUUUGCAAAUGUGUAAAUAUCUAGCUGAUGAUGAUUGCGAAAUUUGUAUUUGCCAUUCCUUUUUCUUCUCUAUUCCUUUUGGCAAGAAAACUAAUUAUUAAUUAUAAAUAUUGAAAAGAAACUAUUUUUUACCAAUAACAACGAAAAUUUAUGCAAGAUUUAGGUAAAAACAAAAACUUAUGCAAGAUUUAGGUAAAAAUCUGCUUUAUCAAAUGAGUUAUCACAAUCGCAUUUCUUCUUAAUUCUUUAUAGAAGUAAUUUUUCGAUUUUUUAAAUAAAUAUAUCGCUGUAAAAUUACCCGAUUGUUAAUAAUAAUAUAUAAAUCAAAUGCUUAUAUAGAUCAUUGAUAUUUAAAUAUAGAAAUAGAUAAGAGGAAUAGAGAAGUAAAGGGUCAGAUAAAACAAAGCCGCGCAUUCGGAUUUUUGCGCAUCGUACUGCGCAAAAUUUGUUCAAGCCGAGCAAAUUGUAGUAAACUACGCGUACAUUUCACAUUAUUAACAUUCUUAUUCACCAUCAUCAUCAUGAUUUAUAAUCGUUAUCUUAAUCAUUCUAUGAUCAUCCUCACUAUUAUCGUCAGUUAUGAUCAGCAUCUUCAUCAAUGUCUUCGUUUUCUCCAUCAUUUUUCUCUUUUUCCUUUUUUUCAGUUUUAAGUUCAAAAAACUUUCUCGUAUUUAUUAUACACCACAGUACGAUGACCAGAAUAACAAAUAAAUGAACAAAUGUCACCCACGAACCUCGACCGCAGCGAAUCAACAUUGAUUUUUUUAUUACAUUUCUAUAUAUUUUUUAACUUCUUUUCGUUUGUAUUGUGUUUGUCAGCGAGUUGGCGAAUCGCUGUCAAAACCGUGUAAAAAAUCCAAUAUACGCGGAUAGAAUUUUACGAAUCGGCUCUACCGAUAAGUUUUCUUUUAGAGAAACGAUGAGAAACGAUCGCUCAUUUUUCUCUCUCUCUUUUUUUCUUUUUCUUUUUGCAAACGCGGCAAUAUCAACUAUCCCACCGUAGAUCUUCAUUUCAUUGUCGGUCACGUGAAAAGAUUUUUCAUUUCAUUGCGUCUCGAGUAUGCGUGCAGCUAACGCAGCCGGCGCGGAUCGUCAUCGUCAUCGUACGAUUUCUAAAAAAAAAAAAGAAAGAACGGUAAGAAGUACCGUAAACGAAGUCCAUCGAAGGCAGGAAUACUGAGCGCGUAGCAACGUUAACCUUCGAGCCCUGAUUUAUUUUUAAAGGGGGGGAAGUCGACUCGAAGGUUACGUUGUACAGAGUCAAAUACACUUUUCUCUAUACACCGACUAUCAUUAUAUUCUUUAUAUGCGUUCUUUCCUGUUAAAGUUCUUGUCCUUCGAUUCCUCUUCGUAUGUCUAUCCAUAUCUUCGUUUCAUAGCCAAAUCUUAUUUUUCAAUUACGAUUCCAUGAAUUCCUCUUCCACCACGGAACGAGAGCCGAACCAAUUCGAUAACGAGCACGGACGAUUGAUGAUAUCGACAACUUUAUGCUUCUCUCUAUCAUCUUAUUACUUGCGUCCCGUUUUUUAACUCGUUCAGGACAAACAAACACAUGUCUCAUGUAUUCUAGUCCUCGCUCGUGUGUUCAUCAGCUAGCGACGUGUCUUUCCCAACGAUCGUAGCGUUUAUAGUAGAUUAAAGGCAACUCGUUGGAGGAAUGUAUUUUUUUGUUUUUUUUUUUUUUUUUUUUGGUUUUUUUCUUUCUUUUAUUUUUUAUACAACUAUAAGGCUGUCGAUGGAGAGCGCGCGCGAGGUCCGUGAGGCCGCUGCUCCUCGCGAGCAGUAUCAGCACUGCAGACGCUGCGUGAAAUCGACGCGUCUGUCGGUAAUUCUAUAGCUGUUAAUCGGCGAUGCUGCAGAUGGAGCGAUCGUCGCACGGACGCCGCCAAUUUGUGGUUCGUGGUGGCGCUUGCUACGACGGUGGCGGUGCUGGAGACAUUAUGGACGCCGAUCAGACGUCCGCGGUUCUCGAGGUUACGCUCGGCGAUCGGCUAUGGAUGACAACUCUGUGGCCAUUUUUCGUUACAAAACCGUCACUCUCGACUAAAACUGCGGUUUGUCUGACCCGUGGAUCCGUGUCAGCGUCAUCGCUUUCUUCGCUGGGUCCGCCUAAACGCUGCUGUUUGUGUUUUCUCCAAGCAUUUUGGAUCAAACGCGCGCAAUAUUCUUCGCGCUGACGCCACAAAGUGGAAGAGACCGGUUCAUAACCUGUCUCACCUGGACGCGUUUGAACCUCGAGCUCUGCUGUCUCCUCAAUCGGAUUACCCUUACGCGCGAAGAAGUCUUUGGUGAGAGCAUCCAAGAUGUCCACGCAGAACAUCAUAUCUCCUUUGCAUAUAGGAAUGUCCAUCGAUACGAUCUUAUACUUGUUCGGCUUGUGUAUCUGCAAUGGCGGUUCGAGCACGUCCAAGAAAUCGGAUAACUGAUCGUAUCUGAUGUACUGUGUCCCGUCUGGAUCAAACUGUUGCCAGAUCUCGUAAUACAUAUCAUAAUCGUCAUCCGUCAAACCUUCCUGCACAUCCUCGGUCGCUUGAGAAUAGUUCUCCAAGAUCACGGCGAUGUACAUGUUUAUCACGAUUAAAAAGCUGAUCACCAAAUACGAGAGAAGGUAGGCAAUGCCGAUCGUAGACGAACCACAAUUGCCCGGAUAUCCUAUCUCGUUGUUUGGUUCCUGGCAGUCCUCUUCGUUUAUUAUACCGUCAAGAACACCGUCCCAACCAGCGGACGUUGACAUCUGAAUAGAUUUAUGAUUUAUUUUCGUAUAUAUGUAUCUAGAUAAAAUUUAUAGAUUGUAAAAGAUUUAAUGUUUAAUUACCUGGAAUAGCAAUAUCAUCGACUGUCCGAACGUUUUAAAAUUGUACACAUCAUCCAGUCCGCUCUUAUCUUUCACGUGCAUGAAGAACGACAUUCCAAAAAUCGCAAAGAUAAACAUCACCAAAAACAGUAAUAGGCAAAUAUUGAAGAGAGCUGGUAACGACAUCGCCAAGGCAAAAAGAAGAGUUCGAAUACCCUUGGCACCUUUCACGAGUCGAAGCACACGACCGACUUUUGCCACCCUUACUACACGAAGCAAUGUUGGCGAUACGAAAUACUUCUCAAUAAUAUCGCUGAGAACCAGACCUAAAGGGAAACAUGUAUGUAUUUAUUAUUAACAAAUUUAAAAUGUUUUAUAAAUUUACUAUUAAUAGAUAGUAAGAAAGGAGUGCUGUGUAAGGUUAUGUGAUCUAAGUAAAUUGGUGCCAUUUAAAUUAAAGAAUAUUUUAGAAAAUCCAUGCAAAAGAUUUUUCACGCAAUAUUGUUUAUUCUAUAGAAUUUAAUUCAUUCAUCGAAGAUAAAACAUGUAAAAAAUUAUGCAUUUUUAGUUCUAAUUGGUUUUCUAUAAUGAAUGAAUAUUGUGUUUUUUAUUUCAUUUAACUUUUUGAAAAUUUUUUAAAAAAAAAAAUUUGAAAGUGUAUGAUGCAUGAUUCGAUAUUUAAAAAGAAGAUUAGAUUAAAAAGAUUAAAAAUAAACGUGCAUCACGCAAUCCUAAGGAUUAUCAUUUCCUGUUUUCUAAUUGUUUCUCUAUCUUUGAUUAUAAAUCAAAUUUAACAUGCAUUUAAAUUGAUCGAAAAAUCAGAAAGUUGAUUAAAGCUCGAUCACUCGUUACAUUUACGUGGUGCUGUAUUAGAGAAAAAAAUGUAUUGAUAGUAGAUUUUUGUGUUAAGUAUUAAAAAUUGAGCACACUACUAAUCAAUUGCUUUUUUCUAAGAAAAACUAAUUGAAAAAACAUAUUUUUGUAAUACAGACCCCCUCUUACCCGACUUUUUGACUAAUGAUCGUCUUUACAUCAAUCAACAUGUGUAAAACCAAUGAAAUACAACAUUAUAUAUCGUUACAAAAACUCGAUGAAUUAAAUUAAAUUUUCAAUAUUAAUAUAUUAUUUAUAAAUAAAUAAUUAUAAUAUUGUUUUUGAUGAUUAGACACAUGUUUAAUUCCGAGAAGACGAGAUUCAUAAGGCAUAGGAAACACAUAAUAUGGAAACCAGGAUAAAACAGGAUAGGAUAACAAAUAACAUCAAUGUAAGGCUACAUAACGUAAUGAAGUUGCUCAGUCGUUGCGGCACAUGUGAAAUAUAUAAUCCUGUAUGCUUAUCUUUAAAAACGAUACUAAUUUUACGUGCAAUAAGAAUUGUACAUGCUCAUUUCCAUCCUAAUCAAAAAGAGAGAGAGAGAGAGAGAGAGUGUGUGUGUGUAAAUAUGUAAGAUAUAUCGUGUAGCUAACAAAACAGUAUGAGAAAGCUAACAGGAUUCACUUUUUCAUUGACAUAUCAAUUUCACUUGUGCCAUACGACUGAACUGAUCAUUACAUUACAUUACCUAAUAUUGACAAUAUAACAACAACAAAAUCAAAGAGAUUCCAUGGCUCCUUGAAAUAGUGGUAACGUAGAGCAAAGAUCUUCAUGAGACACUCGCUGGUGAAUAUCACAAUGAAUAUCAUGUUUAGAUAGUCCAGAACAUCGCUGAAAGUCUGAGUUUGUUGAUAAUGGUCCAACGUCAUUGUAAGCAUGUUCAAUCCGAUGAACAACAUAAUUAUCAUAUCGAACUUUUUGUCUGUCACUAUUUCAAACACUAUUGCUUGCGGUCUCCACUGGAAAAUAAAGGAAAAAAGAUUGAUAUUAAAAUAUUGCAAUUGAAAGAUUUGCGAAAUUAAUAAAGCAAUAAUGACAAUAUGUUAAAUUAUAUGUACCCUUGGACGUGGAAUGGCUUUAAGUGGUUUCUUGCUACCCAUCUUUUUCAUAGCGUUGUAAUAUUUCUUCUGAUCUUCUGUCAUGAACAUCUCGAGGGAACCUCCUGCCUUUUUCUUUUGUUCGUUAAAGUUAUCGAUGAUCACACCAAUGAAUAGAUUAAGGGUAAAAAACGAUCCGAAUAUAAUGAAGAAUACAAAAUAGAAAUACAUGUAGAUGUUCGUUUCACGAAUUGGUUGUUUGUUGAGCUGCAAGCGAGAAAGAAAAAGAAAAUCCACAAAAAUAUGAUGAUUUUUUAAAUGGCAAAUUUUUAAUUAAUAAACACACACUCACCUCCCUAGAGUCAAUGGCAUCGUUCAUGAUCUGAAUCCAUCCUUUGAACGUAGCCACUUGAAACAAGCAUAAAUAAGCUUUUCCUACAUGAUCAAAAUUCAUUGGAGAAUUUUCCCAAGUAUAAUUCUCAGCCAAGCAGGCGUUUCGAUCAGGAAUGAUUUCAUGGCUGAGUGUUGUUUUAUUCGCAUCUACACACUAGAUUGAAAGUAAAUAUAUGAUAUAUAAUAUAAUAUAAACACAUACCUUAAAAUAUUUGCCGGCAAAAAGCUGUACACCCAUAAUGGCGAAGAUCAACCAGAAGAUAAGACACACCAGUAACACGUUGAAAAUGGAUGGAAUGGCUUGAACCAAAGCGUUGACGACUACCUGUUAGACAAAGUAUAUUGUUAAAGUAUUUAAAAAACGUUUCAAUUAUUUUUUUUUUAUUCUGCCUGUCUAUGUGCUUAAGUAUGCGUUUCUAUGCAUCUCUAGGCGUUUUCUAUCUAGUCUACGCCUACGUGUAUUACUGGUUCAUCAUAUGUGCAAUUUGAAUUUUGGAAUCUUCUUUUGCGAUAAAAUAAAAAAACGGUGAAACAUCACGUGAAAGGAAUUAGGAAUGUUGUAUCAUUAUUGUGAAAUUAAAUCAAUUAAGAUCAAGUUGAUGAUAAUUUAAAAAAAAUAAAAAUUAAAUAUUUAUAUAUUUUAUUAUUAAAUUCAUUGAUAAUUCUUCUAAAUCUAAACGAAACAUUUUAUUCUUCUUAAUUUCUUUUUUUUAAAUCAUUAUUUUUAUUGAAAAAAAUUUCAAACAUUUGAAACUAGAGAAUUUUUUUUUAAUUUUUUUACUAGUUGGAAGAAUAAAAAGUAAAAAAAAUUAUAUUUGAAUGUAAAUAAUACAAUUUUUCUCCAAGGUAUGAAAUAGUAAAGAAAUAUGAAGAAUUAAUAGCAAUUAAAUCUCUGUAAAUUUUAAUUUUAAUGAUUAUUAUUAUCUUCAUUAUUACAAGAAUUAUAAUCCACAAAAUAUUUAAUUAUAAAAAAAAACAUACAACAUUUCUAUUUAAUUUCAUUCGAUUUUUCACAGUUUUACAAGAUCAAAUCAGGAAACAGAGCCGAUGAAGUAUCCGUUCGGCUCAUUUAUUUUUAAAUAAUUUAUACGAAAUGAUUCAAUUUUUCAUUUUUUAUGGAACAAUAAACCGAGGUAAAUCUUGCAUACUUACUCCACCAAUUACCACGUUCAAUUUCGUACAAUUACCGCACGAACAUAGAGAUAUGUAUCAAUAAAACAUCGAAAUCACAAAUUUCUAAACAAACGGACAAAAUAGAAAGUAAAAAUAAGAAUAAAAAGAAAAAUGGCGAACACAAGGAAGAUUUUUUGCGUUCUCGAAAUAAGAUAUAUAUAUAGAUAUAUCAAUAAAAGACAAGAAAUUACAAGUCUUCAAACAAAUAGAACGAUUCAAUCGAACAAAAAAGAAAAAAGAAAAUGGCAAACACAAGGAGUGCCUCUGCGUUCUCGAAACUCACGAUUCACUUACAUUUAAUGGAAACGAAUAGAAAAUUAAGAAGUAACAAAGUAUCGAUUUGCCUGAUCAUUGAUCGAUGUGACGUAUGGUGCGUACUCAUAACAUGUGUUGUCUCAAGAUCAAAAUUUUACAAGUGUGCCCAGAAUUUCAUAAUCAGAAUACACGAGAAAUAAAGCAGCAGCAGGUGGCGUAAGAAGCAUAAGCAUAGUAAAAAGAUUCUUUUCCUUGUCUGAUGCAAUCAUGUCGUGCGUAAUUUUCAGCAUUUGUCAGCGGCAAGCAACGAUUCCAUGCAGAAAUAAAGAAAAAAAAUUAACAGAAGAUCAAAAUAAUAUACAUAAUAUAUAUGAUAUAUAAUAUUCUUGUACAAUGUAUCAGUUAAAUAUAUUAUAUAUAAUAUAUAUUCAUAUACGUAGAAAUAGAGAUGUAUGCUGAAAAAUAGUAGCUAUAAACUACUGUAUAAAAAGGUAGGAUAAGAGGUAGUGUCAGGGCGUGGGCAUGACAGUAACUCUACGCCCAGUAUCUCAGCGACCUUGUAUUACAGUUAUGUAGAAUCAUAUGUCUGUAAUGAGAUAUGUAAAUUAUUAAAUUUUCAUCCGAAACUAGUAUAUAUAUGUAUAUAUGUAUAUAUAUGUAUAGUAAUAUAUAUAUAUGUUGGUAUAA
Long non-coding RNA from Apis cerana (Asiatic honeybee), 16017 nucleotides. RefSeq lists it as uncharacterized. The record is from RefSeq and is a predicted model, not a curated record. Lineage: Eukaryota; Metazoa; Arthropoda; Insecta; Hymenoptera; Apidae.